GCAUCGAUGAAGAACGCAGCAAAUUGCGAUAAUUAUUGUGAAUUGCGGAACUCGUGAAUCAUCAAAUUUUUGAACGCAAAUGGCGCCUAUGCUUGCAUAGGUACACCUGUAUGAGUGUUGGUUUUAAUCUUCAACAAACUUUAAUAAAGGGAGUUGAUAUUAUGAGUGUUCAUUUUCUCUGGGAAUUGAUCACUUUAAAUGGAUGAUUAUCUUCAAGAUUCUUCAGUGACAUUGAAUUGUGCUUGGAAUUACAUUGUUGAUAAACUUCAAACUCUAUUUUCCAACCAUCAACCUCAUAUCAGGUGAGAGUACCCGCUGAAUUUAAGCAUAUCAAUAAGCGGAGGA
Molecule: ribosomal RNA, 345 nt
Filed under: uncultured fungus
Lineage: Eukaryota; Fungi
Description: eukaryotic LSU rRNA
Rfam family: 5.8S ribosomal RNA (bases 1-120)
Source: RNAcentral